GCCUGGUUUAUAAAAGACAUCAUUACAGCUGACUGAUUCUCCUCUGCCAGGGGGUCCAAAGGGGUGUAGUGCCUAUAAGCAUCAUAGAGUCGUUCUAAGAACAAAGCCGGGCUUUCCAUUUCCGCUUGUAUCACAGCUUUUACCUUAGCCAAAUUGGUGGGGCGGCGUGCCGCUGCUCGGAGACCUGCCCUAAGAGUCUGGCGGUAAACUCGGAGACGCUCCCUACCUUCCACGUUCCAGGGGAAGCGCUCGUAGAUCAGGGUAGAUCAGGUUCGGCAAGGUCGUUGGCCGUCAGUUGUCGCGGGGGGAGAUUCUUUCUGGCCUCCGUGAGGAUCGGCUCGCGCUCUUCCGUAGUGAACAAGGUCUUAAGGAGCUGCUGGCAAUCGCCCCAUGUGGGGCUAUGUAUAUGCAUGACAGACUCAAACAGACCAAGAAAACUUUUUUCUUAAGAUGUCUGUGACUUACAGAAAUGGAAAAAUAUUUAUUUGCAAAUGAAUCAAGGCAUUCAACUUUUCUCUCUACCUGAAUCCUCUGAAACCAAAAGGUCUCACAUUUACUCCUCGGUUGAAUCCACCGCUCUGCACUCCACCGGGACAGAGCCCAGGCUGGACUGCCAGGCAGAGCUCCUUUUCCUUUUGCGGGCUCCCUGCCUCCCUGUUGAAGCAGAGGGUGGUUGCUAA
Molecule: long non-coding RNA, 680 nt
Filed under: Mustela putorius furo (domestic ferret)
Lineage: Eukaryota; Metazoa; Chordata; Mammalia; Carnivora; Mustelidae
Description: lncRNA (ENSMPUG00000031564.1)
Source: RNAcentral